Molecule: long non-coding RNA, 4020 nt
Organism: Lagopus muta (rock ptarmigan)
Lineage: Eukaryota; Metazoa; Chordata; Aves; Galliformes; Phasianidae
Exons: 5
Source: RefSeq, a predicted model, not a curated record
GGGCCGGCAGCGAGGGGCUGCGUCACGGUUGUGCGGUGUGGUGCGGUGCGGGGGUGCGGCAGGGAGAGCCCCCGGCCCGCGGAGGGCUGCGGGAAGUUGGGCGCUGCGCUCCUCGCUCCGCCGCCCCCUCACAGGAAAACUGGGCGGAAGCGUCGGCUUCGGGCUCCUUCCGCCGCCACUGCGCGAUCCAAAAUAACCGCAGGGGAGCGGGGCGGAGGGAAGCGGGUGGCCCCCCCGCACACCCCUCCCUUACACUCCUCCCGCUGCCCGGCCGGGUGCGGCGCUCUCCCUGAGCCCCGCUGCCGCUCGGCUCUCCCAAAGUAGUUCCCGCGGCUCUGCCUCACGCCAUUCCCGGGAGCCGCCGCGGAGGGAUACGUGCCACAGCGCUGUGCGCUGAGUGCUGAGUGGGACGCCGCGCGGGCCGGGACCGGCGGGGCUGAUGGGUACCCCGCGGGGGAGCUCCCGCCGGGAUCCGUGUGCGCCGGGCCCGCGGGAUGGAGGCGCGAAGAGGGGCAGAUUCCUGCCAAUGAAGUCUUGAGAUAUUGUCUGCUUGCUGCUGUGCCCUCCUGAAUGAACCUAGUAAUUACCUGUAUUCAAACUGAUAACAAUCUGAGCAGCACUCCUGAGAAAACACUUUUCCACAAGAUGCCUCAAAGUCAUUCAGUCAUAGAAUUCCACCAACAUACCACACACAAUCAAUAGUUGCCCAAGUAAAAUAGGUAAGUGAAUGUAUAAAAAAGAACUAUUAAUGGAUGUCUACCAAUGCACUGCCUUCUAAUAUGAUGAUGUCACAUACAGCCACAAAACAGUCAGUUAAAAAUACACAGAUUUUAAAUGUAUUCUUGUCCAAAAGACAGCAGCUAAGAAAAUACUUUUUAAGGUAGGUUCAAAAGAUAAAAUCCCAGAUACAGUGGAGUUGGUGGCAGGCAAAAAAGCAAGGAUUGCCCAUUUGUUUUAAAGUCUUUGUAGCACCAGAAGCAUCAUUAACAUUAAAUCUAAUCUUCUGCAUAACACAGGCAUGAAACUUAAACAUACAGAACACCUUAAAAACAUAGAGAGAGACAAAAUGCUUCCCUCAAAUAGCUUCUAGCCCUAUUAAUGAUAAAAUAGCAAAUAAAAGAAAGAAAGAACAGGGGAAAUAAACAGAACAAACCUGCUAUAAUUUUAGUUUUGACAGCAUGCACACCUUCAGAUUUGCAUCCUUUAAAGGAAUUUAAAAAAAAAAAGACAAGUAAGUCCACAAAUACACAAGUGAUAUAUUUAUCAAAAAAUACUUCCUUAGGAAUUAUGAGAGAUUAUAAAACCAUUGGAUAUUCAAAGCCUCCUGUCACUGUAGGUUUUACUGUUGACGCAGGCUACAUGAUGUGGAAAUGAAGAACUGUAAAGGCAGUUAGAGAAAAGAAGAGUGUGUAAGAGCUCCCAGCUUCCACAGUCAGUUCUGCCAUUGUUGUUGUUUUGUUUUUUGGGUUUUUUUGUGUUUUUUUUUGUGGACUUCCACACAUGGUCUCAACUUUUUAAAAAUUAGAGAGUCUAUUAUCAUCUGAAUUUUUGCCUUUGAUAUAUGGAAAUCAAAAUGAAAUUCUGUAGUUGGAAGAAUAAGAUAUAUACAGGAAAAACUUUCAUCUUUUUCUUUUUUUUCCAAGUGCUUCACCAUAAGUGCAGAUCCACAGUCAAAACCAAAAAACAGAAUAUGGAGACCAAAGACACACACUGAGGACUGUUAUUGAGGCUUCAUAGAUGUGACCAUCAAUAACUAUCUGUCUUUGACAAAUCCUAAAGUCAUGUACUCAACCUGACAGUUGAGAGCAGGAUUUGUGUUAAGAAUAUUAUUCAUUAAUAUAUAUCACAAUGAUAAAUGCAAAAUAUUCGCUCUCCCACCAGAAGUGUGUAAAUUUAUGGAAAAUAGAUUACAGUGGCUGAAGCAUGUAGUGAAAAAAAUGUGAUAGAAUGUGGAUACAAACAACUGUAUUUAGAACAAAAUGCAAUACGUAAUACUUUCAUAGAAUACAUGACACAUGAUACACUGGGUUAUUCUUAGUAAUAAUCAGUGAGAAAAAACAUUCAUUAUUUCUCUCUUUUGUAGAUACUUGGAAGCAUUUUUAAGAAUAAACUACUGAAUCUUCUCUUCUGAUGUUGAAAUUCUUCUGGUUUGGGGGUUGUUUUUUUUUUUUUUUUUCCAGCGUAACAUCUUUUUGUUUGUUUAAUGAUUUUUGAAUUAAACUAAUAAAUGUGAUCUUCAUAACUUGGAAUGAACCACCAUAUUUUUCGAUGCUCAUUUGCCAUUUACCCUCAGCUGUUUCUGAAGACUAUGAAAGUUGAUUACUCAACUAAGUUUAUGCCAAUGAUUGAUCAUUUCUGCUAAUGACCACAACUCUUCUUCUAUGGGGAAUAGAAAAAGCAGUACAACAAAAACAAAUCAAAAGUCAGAAGUUUUUGCCAGAACUGAAAUCGGAAAUGCCAAAGUACUGUGAGAAGGGCUGUUCUGUAUUAGAGCUGACCCAAAUGAAACAAGGAAGUACUGCAGAAGCACAGGACAGUCUAUUUGAAGGAGGCUGCCAUCCAGUUUCCAGACUACAGAAGUUUGGAUGAGGUCAGAUAAACUCUGGAAACUGUUAAACUUCUGGAUGUAUAUCUGAACUGAACCACCAGAUCUUUGUGACUCAUGCUUUACUGAUGCCCACUUUUUGUGGAGAUGAGUAGAAAUAAAAUAGUUUUACUUUGGGAAAGAAUGUAGGAAACGUUGCACAAACCAGAAGGUUGCUUGCAUUAUCCUGAAGAUUAGAAAUGGAUUAUAAUCUGUAAUUCUGAUUGCACUGAACAAUUUAAGUAAAGAGUAGCUGGAUAGCUGGGCUGAAGCCAACGGGAUGAGUUUCAACAAGGCCAAAUGCUGGGUCCUACACUUUGGCCACAACAACCCCAGGCAAUGCUACAGGCUUGGGGCAGAGUGGCUGGAAGCCUAUGUAGAGGAAAUGGACCUGGGGGUAUUGAUUGAUGCUCAGCUGAACAUGAGCCAGCAGUGUGCCCAGGUAGCCAAGAGGCUUGCAUCAGAAAUAGCGUUGCCAGCAGGGACAAGGAAAUGAUUGCCCCCCUGUACUCAGCUCUGGUGAGGCCACACCUUGUGUACUGUGUCCAGUUUUGGGCACCUCACUGCAAAACAUUGAAGCCCUUGAGCAGGUUCAAAGAAGGGCAACAAAGCUCAUGAGGAGUCUGGAGCACAGGGCUUACGAGUAGUGGCUAAGGGAGCUGGGCUUUUUCCAUCUGGAGAAGAGGGGGCUCAGGGGAGACCUUAUCACUCUCUGAAACUACAUAAAGGGAGGCUGUAGCGAUAGAACUGGAGGAAAUGGCUUCAAGCUGCACCAGGGAAGAUUUAGGCUGGAUGUUAGGAAAUACUACUUUUCUGAAAGAGUGGUCAGGUGCUAGAAUGGGCUGCCCAGGGAGGUGGUGGAGUCACCAGCCCUGGAGGUGUUCAAGGAACAUUUGGAUUUUGUGUUGAGGGAUAUAGUUUAGCGAGAACUAUCAAUGAUGGGUGAAUGGUUAGACUGGAUGAUCUUGUAGGACUUCCCAAAGCUUGGUGUUUCUGUGAUUCUGUGAAUAUGCCCUUGAAGUCAAUUGAGAUAAACUGGUUCAUCUGGAAGACAACUUCUGUGAUAUCUGUUAAUGACAUGCAGUUAAAUUGGAGACAUUCUGGGCCUUACUUAUCCAUCACCUAAACUGCAAUUGCUUCAAUGAUAGAUAUUUCAUUAGGAAUAGAGUUGGUUCACUAAUCCUAGUUUGUCUCAUUUUUCUCCCCAGUUGAUGUUGUUCUGCCACAGUUUAUAAUGGCGACUCUGUGUUGGAACAACAUUUAUGAUCACAGUGGCUUAGUCUCUCACAGUCGUAUCUGUUGUCUAUUUGCAAAUCAAAGCUUGACUUGUAAAUCCAGAAUUACAGAAUCACAUAAAUAGGUACCAUAUAGUUUUGGGCUUGAAAAUGAAAGCUGUGACCUGGCUUUGCUCAUUAAAAACAGAUGUUUUCAAUCUC